GCGGUGGCUCGUCCUGUGCGACGGCUGCGCCUCAACCUUGUGAAUCCUGACCUCAUCGGCAGCGGCGGGCGGCACCGUGCGACGGUUGCGCCUCUAUCCUGCAGGCGCAUCGACGCAAGGGCCGACGGAAUACGGAUCCAACCCAAGGAGUUUCCCUACCCACACUCCAGGAGUUGUUGCAGCAGGUAUCGUCAUGCAUGGUGGCUAUCGUUUGCUGGAAAAAUACCGGCUCGGCAUUCUGCACGUCGCCCAGAUCCGAGGAGGAAGAUUGAGCAGCUUUGAUGCAGGUCGAGCACAGAUCAGAUUGGUGUCGGUGUCGAUUCAUGCUAGGGAGGUAGGUGUUUUGUUCUACUAGCUUAUAUUUCUUGAAUAUGUGGCAAAAUAGAUCGAUGUGUAUCUGAAGAUAUGCUCAGUGCGCAUUAUAUUAGUCAUCCCCAAAAUAAAUGUUUUACGGCAACAAUAACUAGAUACAUCUGUACGUAGACAUGAAAUGAGGUCUCAGUGCUUCUUCGUUGGGUCAGAAAUUGCAUCUUUUGCUGCUUCGGUGUGUAUAUGACCUGGCCACUUGUUCUAAGCAACAAAGCCAUUCCUUGAUUCAACUUCAACUUGAUGUGCUCAAGAGAAAACCACGUAAGCUAUUUUGCCUUGCAGUGGAAUGAACCAUUUCUCUGGGAUUCAAUAUAUCUCCAUCGAUUAGCCAGA
This 702-nucleotide long non-coding RNA is filed under the name Oryza brachyantha (malo sina). RNAcentral describes it as "long non-coding RNA (OBRA_LNC002793)". Lineage: Eukaryota; Viridiplantae; Streptophyta; Magnoliopsida; Poales; Poaceae. The record is from RNAcentral.